This 74-nucleotide transfer RNA is filed under the name Candidatus Malacoplasma girerdii. RNAcentral's name for it is "Candidatus Mycoplasma girerdii tRNA". It matches the Rfam family "tRNA". Rfam says of the family: Transfer RNA (tRNA) molecules are approximately 80 nucleotides in length. Their secondary structure includes four short double-helical elements and three loops (D, anti-codon, and T loops). Lineage: Bacteria; Bacillati; Mycoplasmatota; Mycoplasmoidales; Mycoplasmoidaceae. The record is from Rfam by way of RNAcentral.
GCCGACUUAGCUCAAUCUGGCAGAGCAACUGACUUGUAAUCAGUAGGUUGAAGGUUCGAUUCCUUUAGUCGGCA